CGGGAGAGUGAGGGAGCGGGAGGGGCGGCUGCGGGGUGAAGUGGAGCGUGUGAUCGUGGGCGCGUGCGAGUUCCGUGUGCAUGUUUUGCAGGCGCGUGUGCAUUUCGCCCUGCCUCUUGCUUUCUGAUGCAACAUUGAACUGUGUCUCCUGGGCUACUAGGGGACCUUGUUAUGUUUUUUUUUUUUUUUCUUCCUGUCCUCGCAGGAAACGAGAACCAAUUGCUGUGCUGUUGCCAUCGGAGCGGGGAGCUCGGUCUACCCCACCCUGAAAACAAGCUCCGACAUAUCUUUCUCCAGCAUCUUGUCUCCCCCGUCCCCCUUGAACUCUUUGUUACCAGCACAUUCGGCUACCCAAAAUCCCAUUAUUGCUACUCGAGUGCACGCUGACUUCCGUGGAAUUAAACUGGAGAGCAGCAAGGGGUGUUUUGCAAUCUUAACAAUAUGGCACAGAGAUUUAGAGAGAUCCACCACCACGCUGACUCUGAGCCACGCCAAAUAAAGGGAUCGCUACUUCCUUCAUUCGCACUGAAUAUGAAGACAUUGAGGAUACAGAAGAUACAAGGAUUGGUUGUAAAAGAAAAGAAAGAAAGCCUGAUGUUGUAGUAUUAAACAGUGGUCACACC
Long non-coding RNA from Gasterosteus aculeatus aculeatus (three-spined stickleback), 623 nucleotides. Lineage: Eukaryota; Metazoa; Chordata; Actinopteri; Perciformes; Gasterosteidae. The record is from Ensembl.